RNAcentral lists this ribosomal RNA (253 nucleotides) under uncultured bacterium. RNAcentral's name for it is "partial 16S ribosomal RNA". It matches the Rfam family "Bacterial small subunit ribosomal RNA", at positions 524 to 776 of the family's 1533-position model. The record is from RNAcentral.
GACGAAGGGGGCUAGCGUUGUUCGGAAUUACUGGGCGUAAAGCGCGUGUAGGCGGUUGUCCAAGUUGGAUGUGAAAGCCUUGAGCUUAACUCAAGAAAUGCAUUCAGGACUGGAUGACUAGAGGACCGGAGAGGAUAGUGGAAUUCCCAGUGUAGUGGUGAAAUACGUAGAGAUUGGGAAGAACACCAGUGGCGAAGGCGGCUAUCUGGACGGUUUCUGACGCUAAGACGCGAAAGCAUGGGGAGCAAACAGG